GACGAACGCUGGCGGCGUGCUUAACACAUGCAAGUCGAACGCUGAAGCCCAGCUUGCUGGGUGGAUGAGUGGCGAACGGGUGAGUAACACGUGAGUAACCUGCCCCCUUCUUUGGGAUAACGCCCGGAAACGGGUGCUAAUACUGGAUAUUCACUGGCCUUCGCAUGGGGGUUGGUGGAAAGGUUUUUUCUGGUGGGGGAUGGGCUCGCGGCCUAUCAGCUUGUUGGUGGGGUGAUGGCCUACCAAGGCUUUGACGGGUAGCCGGCCUGAGAGGGUGACCGGUCACAUUGGGACUGAGAUACGGCCCAGACUCCUACGGGAGGCAGCAGUGGGGAAUAUUGCACAAUGGGCGAAAGCCUGAUGCAGCGACGCCGCGUGAGGGAUGACGGCCUUCGGGUUGUAAACCUCUUUCGCUCAUGGUCAAGCCGCAGCUUUGGGUUGUGGUGAGGGUAGUGGGUAAAGAAGCGCCGGCUAACUACGUGCCAGCAGCCGCGGUAAUACGUAGGGCGCGAGCGUUGUCCGGAAUUAUUGGGCGUAAAGGGCUUGUAGGCGGUUGGUCGCGUCUGCCGUGAAAUCCUCUGGCUUAACUGGGGGCGUGCGGUGGGUACGGGCUGACUUGAGUGCGGUAGGGGGAGACUGGGACUCCUGGUGUAACGGUGGAAUGCGCACAUAUCAGGAAGAACACCCUUGGCGAAGGCGGGUCUCUGGGGCGUUACUGACGCUGGGAGCGAAAGCGUGGGGAAGCAACAAGG
Molecule: ribosomal RNA, 752 nt
Filed under: uncultured Actinomyces sp.
Lineage: Bacteria; Bacillati; Actinomycetota; Actinomycetes; Actinomycetales; Actinomycetaceae
Description: bacterial SSU rRNA
Rfam family: Bacterial small subunit ribosomal RNA
Source: RNAcentral